UACACGAGUGGCGAACGGGUGAGUACACGUGGGUGAUCUGCCCUGCACUUCGGGAUAAGCCUGGGAAACUGGGUCUAAUACCGGAUAGGACCAUGGACUUCACGGUUUGUGGUGGAAAGCUUUUGCGGUGUGGGAUGGGCCCGCGGCCUAUCAGCUUGUUGGUGGGGUAAUGGCCUACCAAGGCGACGACGGGUAGCCGGCCUGAGAGGGUGUCCGGCCACACUGGGACUGAGAUACGGCCCAGACUCCUACGGGAGGCAGCAGUGGGGAAUAUUGCACAAUGGGCGCAAGCCUGAUGCAGCGACGCCGCGUGAGGGAUGACGGCCUUCGGGUUGUAAACCUCUUUCAAUAGGGACGAAGCGCAAGUGACGGUACCUAUAGAAGAAGCACCGGCCAACUACGUG
This 404-nucleotide ribosomal RNA is filed under the name uncultured bacterium. RNAcentral's name for it is "bacterial SSU rRNA". It matches the Rfam family "Bacterial small subunit ribosomal RNA", at positions 88 to 507 of the family's 1533-position model. The record is from RNAcentral.